Molecule: ribosomal RNA, 301 nt
Filed under: uncultured bacterium
Lineage: Bacteria
Description: partial 16S ribosomal RNA
Rfam family: Bacterial small subunit ribosomal RNA
Source: RNAcentral
CAGCCGCCGCGGUAAUACGGAGGGCGCGAGCGUUACCCGGAUUUACUGGGCGUAAAGGGCGUGUAGGCGGCCUGGGGCGUCCCAUGUGAAAGGCCACGGCUCAACCGUGGAGGAGCGUGGGAUACGCUCAGGCUAGAGGGUGGGAGAGGGUGGUGGAAUUCCCGGAGUAGCGGUGAAAUGCGCAGAUACCGGGAGGAACGCCGAUGGCGAAGGCAGCCACCUGGUCCACUUCUGACGCUGAGGCGCGAAAGCGUGGGGAGCAAACAGGAUUAGAUACCCGAGUAGUCCCUGUCUCUUAUAC